Molecule: ribosomal RNA, 433 nt
Filed under: uncultured bacterium
Lineage: Bacteria
Description: partial 16S ribosomal RNA
Rfam family: Bacterial small subunit ribosomal RNA
Source: RNAcentral
AACGAACGCUGGCGGCAUGCCUAACACAUGCAAGUCGAACGAGACCUUCCGGCCUAGUGGCGCACGGGUGCGUAACGCGUGGGAACCUGCCCUUAGGUUCGGUAUAACUCCCCGAAAGGGGUGCUAAUACCGGAUAAUGUCUUCGCACCAAAGAUUUAUCGCCUUUGGAUGGGCCCGCGUUGGAUUAGCUAGUUGGUAGGGUAAAAGCCUACCAAGGCGACGAUCCAUAGCUGGUCUGAGAGGAUGAUCAGCCACACUGGGACUGAGACACGGCCCAGACUGCUACGGGAGGCAGCAGUGGGGAAUAUUGGACAAUGAGCGAGAGCCUGAUCCAGCAAUGCCGCGUGAGUGAUGAAGGCCUUAGGGUUGUAAAGCUCUUUUACCCGGGAUGAUAAUGACAGUACCGGGAGAAUAAGCUCCGGCUAACUCCGUG